AAAAAAGAAAAGAAAAAAAAAAAGAUCUGAUAGUUGAAAGGUGUGUGGUGGUCUCCCCCCUGCCCUCUGCCACCUCUCCUGCUGCAAUGUAAGACGUGCCCUGCUUCCCAUUUCACCAUGAUUGUAAGUUUCCUGAGGCAUCCCCACCCAUGUGAAACUGUGAGUCAAUUAAAGCUUUUUUUUUUUUUUUCCAGAGUCUCCCUCUGUCGCCCAGGCUGGAGCGGAGUGGCGUGAUCUCGGCUCACUGCAACCUCCGCCCCCGGGUUUAAGCAAUUCUCCUGCCUCAGCCUCCAGAGGAGCUGUGAUUACACAUGCUUGCCACCACGCCCGGCUAAUUUUUGUAUUUUCAGUAGAGAUGGGGUUUCACCACGUUAGCCAGGCUGGUCUCGAACUCCUGACCUCGUGAUCAGCCCAACUCGGCCUCCCGAAUUGCUAGGAUUAUAGGCGUGAGCCACCACACCCUACCAAGCUUUUUCCUUUAUAAAUUACCCAGUCACAGGUAGUUAUUAUUUUUUUUUUUUUGAGACAGAGUCUUGCUCUGUUGCCCAGGCUGGAGUGCCAUGGUGUGAUCUCAGCUACUGCAACCUCGGCUUCCUAGAUUCAAGCCAUUCUCCUGCCUCAGCUUCCCAAGUAGCUAGGAUUACAAGCAUGCGCCACCACGCCCAGCUAAUUUUUGUAUAUUUAGUAGAGAUGGAGUUUCAUUCACCAUGUUGGCCAGAUUGGUGUUGAACUGACCUCAGGUGAUCCACCCACCUUGACCUCCCAAACUGCUGGGAUCAUAGGCAUGAGCCACUGCACUCAGCCUCACGUAGUUCUUUGUUGUUGUUGUUUUGUUGCUGUUGUUGUUUUUUCAGACGAAGUCUCACUCUUGUCCCCCAAGCUGGAGUACAAUGGCGCGAUCUCGGCUCACUGCAACCUCCGCCUCCCGGGUUCAAGCAAUUCUCCUGCCUCAGCCUCCCGAGUAGCUGGGAUUAUAGGCGCCUGCCACCAUGCCCGGCUAAUUUUUGUAUUUUAAGUAGAGACGGGGGUUUCACCAUUUUGGCCAGGCUGGUCUCGAACUCCUGACCUCAGGUGAUCCGCCCGCCUCGGCCUCCCAAAGUGCUGGGAUUACAAGUGUGAGCCACCGUGCCCGGCCGGCCUCAGGUAGUUCUUUAUAGCAGUGUGAAAAUGGAGUAAUAGAGAGCUGAGGCAGGAGGAUCACCUGAGGCCAGGAGGUGAGGCUGCAUGAGCUGUGACUGCACCACUGCACUCCAGCCUGGGUGACAAAGUGAGACCCUAUCUCAAAAAAACAAAACAAAAGACAUAUUUAUUUUAAAAAUAAAUAAAUAAACUUUGUAGGACUUUGUUUAGACAUGUUUACCAUAUGACAUAUGUGUCUUUAGAACAGCGUCCAGCAUCUUGUAGAAGGACAAUCAUUACAAAGUUCAAGCACGUUCUGCUUUAAACACACCUAUUGUGCCACACUAAAAUCUGAAUUUGUGAAUAAAUGAACUAAAACAAUCAUAUUAUAAAACUACACAGGACUUUAAAGCGUCAUGUAGGAUGUGACUUUUUUAUUACAGGCUCCCAUAAUGUAUUUAGAAAUAUGACUCAGGAUCUAUCCAUGAUAACAGUCAGUAUAGGAUAAACAAGUUAGUAAUUUAUGUUUAAUAAUGUAUUCUAUUUAUUUUAUUUUAUUUUAUUUUUUGAGCUGGAGUCUCACUCUGUUGCCCAGGCUGGAGUGCAGUGGCACGAUCUCAGCUCACUGCAAGCUCCGCCUCCCGGAUUCAAGCGAUUCUCCUGCCUCAGCCUCCCGAGUAGCUGGGACUACAGAUGGAGUUUCGCUCUUGUUGCCAGGCUGGAGUACAGUGGCCUGAUCUCGGCUCACUGCAACCUCUGCCUCCUGGGUUUAAGCAAUUCUCCUGCCUUAGCUUCCUCCUGAGUAGCUUGGAUUACAGGCAUGCGUCACCAUGCCCGGCUAAUAUUGUAUUUUAAUAGAGACGGGAUUUCACCAUGUUGGCCAGGCUGGUCUCGAAGUCCUGACCUCAAGUGAUCCGCCCGCCUCAUCCUCUCAAAGUGCUGGGGUUACAGGCAUUAGCCCUCACGCCUGGCCAAAUGCAGUCUUUUCACCACCUUUUUGGAUCACAGAAAAUGACCAUGAAGCUAUGGAAAAAAGGGAGAGUUGAAUUUAAGAUUAGCUGUCAGCCCAUCUUUCAUUAGCCAUUUCUCUAAUCCAGUCUUGAAUUUUCCUCUUUCUAGUAAUAUGGAGGGUAGCACUAUGUUCAAAGCGGCCACUGGGGAUUUAGGUAUUUUAAUAUCUGUACUAUGUUUCUAGAUAAGUAAAAUAACCAGGUGAAUUUAUCAGCCCACAGUGAACCUGGGGAACAGUUUAUUGAACUAGUGCCCUUAAGUAGAGGACAUUCUCAACAUUGCUAAGUUUAUCUCCCAUUCCCUAUAUCAUGGAAUGAGAGAAAUUUGGAGAAAAAAUUUCUAUUUCCUAAUCUCAGCUUUUUUUUUUUUUUUUUUUCCGAGACAGAGUAUCGAGCUGUCGCCCAGGCUGGAGUGCAAUGGCAUGAUCUUGGCUCACUGCAACCUCUGCCUCCCGCGUUCUAAGUGAUUCUCCUUCCUCAGCCUCCCGAAUAGCUGGGAUUAUAGGCACGCACCAUCAUGCAUGGCUAAUUUUGUAUUUUUAGUAGAGAUGGGGUUUCCCCAUGUUGGCCAGGCUGGUCUCGAACUCCUGAUCUCAGGUUAUCCACCCGCCUCAGCCUCUCCAAGUGCUGGGAUUACAAGUGUGAGCCACCGCACCCCGCCCUAAUCUCAGCCUUUUUAUAUCUUCUUGGUAGGCCCACUUUUUGGCAUCCCCUAACAAGAAGUCCUCAGAGAUUUUUACUACUCAACAUGUGUGCGUCCCACUCAGAUGUAUUGUGUUCUUUCUGUUCACCCUCUACUUCCCAUUCCAUUUCUUCCUCUGACUUAGGGUUAGAAUGGCCCAAUGAUCCUACAACUUUUUGAUGCUAUUUCAUUUGAUUCCUCUACUGUCUAAAUCACAAGUUGGCUAACUUUACUUACUGUAAGGGAUCAGAUAGCAAAUAGUUUAGGCCUUGUGGGCCAUUCAAUCUGUCAUAACUACCCACUCUGACCAUAUGUAGUGCAAAAGCAGCCCUUGACAAUAUAUAAAUGAAUGAACGUGAAUGUAUUUCAAUAAAGCUUUACUUGUGGACACUGAAAUUUGAAUUUUAUAUCAUU
Molecule: long non-coding RNA, 3225 nt
Filed under: Homo sapiens (human)
Lineage: Eukaryota; Metazoa; Chordata; Mammalia; Primates; Hominidae
Source: RNAcentral